UUCAGGUGAUUACAAGAGUCUAAUGGUGGAGGGUUAAAUGAAACACAGCAGAGAUAACAUCAGAACAUGCGGAGGAGACCUCCUGCUGUGCAAGGGGAAUGGCUGGUAAACUGCUUUUAGUGAUCUCUGGUGCCCAGCAGUGAAUUGACACAGCUAACUCACACCUUCUCGUGUUUAUUUUCAAGGAAAAGCAUCAUAUUUCUCUUAUGUCUUAUCAAAAUAGAAUUCCCAAGGACGAAUGGUUAGUCAUCUGGAGUAGGGCCAGGAAAAAAAGCUAACUUUUGUAGGCAGGACUUCAGGGUUUAUCCAGAUAGACCUGUAUGAAAAGCACACAGGGCUGAUUUCACUUAUUGAUGAACAGGGAUGGCUGCUGCUGCCCACGUGGCAGCACAAAUGUUUUUCCACACACUCAGGCCAAUGGAGGAGUGUUUUUGUAGGGGGUGAGGCUGCGGAACAGGAUCUAACCUCAGUUAGCUCUAGUCCUCCUUCUGUGCCCAGUCAGGAAACAAAGUCACACCUUGGAAAGUCCUGGUAA
Molecule: long non-coding RNA, 535 nt
Filed under: Anas platyrhynchos platyrhynchos (common mallard)
Lineage: Eukaryota; Metazoa; Chordata; Aves; Anseriformes; Anatidae
Description: lncRNA (ENSAPLG00000018110.1)
Source: RNAcentral